UCUUUGAAAACUCAUUUUAUCCAACAAGGAGAUAUUAGAAAAAUCAGACACCAAAAAUAAAUAGGAAAGAAUAUUUGCAACAAAAACUACAAAAGAAGAAUAUCUACAGUAUAUUAAAUAGUUAUGAAAUAGGAAAAUAAGCCUUUCUAAGAGUUGGGCAAAAAAAUUCUUUCACAAAGAAUAUACAAUUGGCUAAUAAACGUGAAAAAACAUUCUUAGUAGCAAUAUAAAAAUGCAAAUUAAAACUGAAAUUUUCCAUCUACUAAAUAAGCAAGCUAGCACACUCAUACACUCCUCUUGGGAAUAUAAAUUGGUCCUAUUUACUGGAAAACAAUUUCAAACUCCAUGUCAAGAGACUUUUAAAUUUUCAUAAGUUGUGACUAAGUAAUUCCUUUCCUAAGCACCUGUCUUUAGGAAAGAAAUCUACACAUUCAUCAAAACAGGAAUACUAAAUUUGGUACAUCCAUACUGGGAACAGUAAAGCUCCAUGAGAACAUAGUCUCAGCAUCCCCAGGGCCUGCCACACAGCAGGGACUCAACAAAUGUUGGUUAAAUGACUCUGAAAUUCUACGUGGCUGUUAAAAAAAUAAAUUCAAAUUAUUAAACAGAAAGAUCCCCCAGACAUAUGUUAAGUGACAAAGAAAACAAGACAAACAACAGGACAUAGAGAAUGCUCCCAUGAUGUAAAACUAAAACCAUCACCCAAACAAAAAACAUAUUCUCUCUGUCUCUGUGUCUCUAUCCCUGUGUGUGCGUGUCUGAGCAUGUAUUUAUAAAUACAUAGACAAAUACAUGAAAAGGUAUAUACACCAAGCCAAUAAAAAGGAUUAUGUCUAGAAGGAGAUGCAGAUGCUCUAUAAAGGGGACUUUGUGUUGUCUGAAUCGUUUUGGAUAUAAAUAUAUUCUCAGAUGAAUUGUAUAUUUUAAAAAACAAUGUUUCCUAAAGGAUGUGUAUAUAAAGACAUUUUAAAAAAAUUUACAUUUUUCACUUUCAUCAUAUUUGGCAAUAUGUACUUGCACUGGGGAGCUGUCAGGUCUUGGGGUGCGGUGAUGAUGAUAGCAUCAUUCAUUACAAUGAUAAGUUGAAAAUAAUCCCUUAGGAGAAUGGUGAGAUGUGUGUUAGCCAUGGAAUAUCAUGUAGGCAUAAUAAGUUAUGCUUUCUGAGGAAGAGUUGACAGGAAAUAACAUGGGACAUUAUCAAGUGAAAACAGCAGCAGCAACAACAAAGAUUCAAUGCAAAAAAUAUAGGCUCCCUUUACCAGGAACACCAAAGGAAAUUAUUUAAGCUGAAAGCAAGUAACCUUACAGAAUAAUUUGAUUCCAUGCACAAAACACUAAGAGAAGCAGAGAAGGCAAUUAACGCAGGUAAUUGUAAGGAGGAUAAAUGUAUAUUUCUUCUCUUAUUAUUUAUUUAUUUAAUUUUUUUUUUUUUAAGUAGGCUCCAGGCCGAACAUGGGGCUUGAACUUAAGACCAUGAGAUCAAGAGUCAUAUGCUUUUCUGAUUGAGCCAGCCAGGUGACCUUCUCUUAACUUAUUUUAAAAGAAAUUGUAUAAAACUAUAUGUACAU
This 1568-nucleotide long non-coding RNA is filed under the name Canis lupus familiaris (dog). RNAcentral's name for it is "lncRNA (ENSCAFG00805008049.1, ENSCAFG00845021279.1)". The record is from RNAcentral. Lineage: Eukaryota; Metazoa; Chordata; Mammalia; Carnivora; Canidae.